This is a long non-coding RNA of Amblyraja radiata (thorny skate), 136 nucleotides long. RefSeq lists it as uncharacterized. NCBI's taxonomy places the organism in Eukaryota, Metazoa, Chordata, Chondrichthyes, Rajiformes, Rajidae. The transcript is spliced from 3 exons. The record is from RefSeq and is a predicted model, not a curated record.
GUAAAUUGUCCCUAGUAUAUAGGAUAGUACUAGUGUACAGGGAUUAUGACAGAAGCCACCUCGUGGCGAUCCCCGGAAAUGACGACACGAUGCACUCUGCGACGCGUCGGGCGACCAAUUCUGUCAACAUGUUGGA